AGCUGGGACCACAGGCAUGCGCCACCAUGCCAGAGUACUAAAAAGAUGUGCACUCAAGGAUCAAGACUAAAUAAAAUUAAUAACUGUGACUGCUUCUUCAAGGACGUUCUUCAGUGAAUUUUAAGAAAAACUGGCUUUUUAAACUGUUGAGUACAUAGUGAUGAACAAUGACUGCUAAUACAGCUGGUGCCAUGGCUUUGAUUCAUGCCAAGGUCUGGGGAACUGGAAGCUAUCAAAGCCAUUCUGACACCUCGUUGGAAUCUAUCACUUGAGGGAGGAACAGUAGCCAUAAGCUCAGUGAAAAGGAGUUUGUGAAUAAUUCCCCUGAAAAGUUUCUCUCUCAAUUUGAGCAGUCAUAGAUGCAUUGCUUCUUUUUGAACCUGUGUCUUAUUCUAAUUGAGUUAUAAAGAAACAACAAUGAACUGUGGAACUGAACAGUCCACUCUGUGACAAGUUCCUCUGUACAGGUUGGUCAUUGUGUGACUUUUCUAACUUCCAUUAUGGUCCAAAAAGGGGGUUACAAGGGUAUGAUGGCUGUUGUCAGAUCUACACAGACAGGCCAGAGGCAUGUAAUUCCCUCUCUAGGAACAAACAUCAGUCACCCUCAGGGGUAAGGGAACCCAGCUGUCAGCUUUGGUAGGAAAACGCAACCUUCUCCAGAACAAGGAAAAUAAGACCACCCACCACGUCACAUUCUUGAGGUGUUUGUGCUGAUCCUUCUCUUUAAUCUUAACAUUGUGGAAUCUCCACGGCUUUGCUUCCUCUCAGCCCGCUCUCACCCACUCCACCCAUUCCAAUACACAGGCACUGGGUGAAGGACGGAACUUAGCUCAAAAGGUCUCUAUCGCUUGAGGUCGGGCUUGCUCCUUCGUGGUAGGCAUUCCAUCAUCUGGAUUGCAACAGAACUGCAAACCACAUUGCUUUCUAAGAGACUAAACCCAAGAGACUAACCCCAGUCCAGGGCGUAGCCACCUGCCUCUCAGCCCUAAUUACAGACUGUACCUUCUGCUCAUGAAGGAGCCCUGCUCUAACUUCUGGGAAUUAUAUGGUUGCAUUAAGGUAUGGACACAUUCCUUUUCUCUCUCGACACCAAAAAGGAUACUAUAUCUGCUUGAUCAAUAGUCUACCUCUGACUUUAAAGUACUUACUAGAGUAUAAGUUCCACAAGGGCAGGAUCUUGUCUGUUUCUGUUUACCUUCGUAUCCCCAGUACUGGCACAAUGCCUGGUUCUUAGUAUGUGUUCAAUAAUUAUCUGUUGAAUAAAUGAUUAAGUGAGUGAUUUAACUGGACACGAAAACAGGCAUAUCAGCUGGGUGCAGUGGCUCACACCUGUAAUCCCAGCACUUUGGGAAGCUAAAAUGGGAAGGUCACCUG
Molecule: long non-coding RNA, 1374 nt
Filed under: Homo sapiens (human)
Lineage: Eukaryota; Metazoa; Chordata; Mammalia; Primates; Hominidae
Description: HSALNT0369003
Source: RNAcentral